UAUACUUUAUUAUUUAUAUUUAAAAAUUUGAUUUUUAAGAACUUUAUUAAUUUAAAGAGGUAUAA
This 65-nucleotide transfer RNA is filed under the name Ceraphronidae sp. ZJUH_2016007. Its description in RNAcentral is "tRNA-Gln". The record is from RNAcentral. Lineage: Eukaryota; Metazoa; Arthropoda; Insecta; Hymenoptera; Ceraphronidae.